UACGCAGGCGGUUUGGUAAGUCAGAGGUGAAAGCCCACAGCUUAACUGUGGCACUGCCUUUGAUACUGCCUUUCUAGAGUGCAUGAGGGGGAAGCGGAAUUCCGAGUGUAGAGGUGAAAUUCGUAGAUAUUCGGAGGAACACCGGUGGCGAAGGCGGCUUCCUGGCAUGUAACUGACGCUCAUGUACGAAAGCGUGGGUAGCAAACAGGAUUAGAUACCCUGGUAGUCCACGCCCUAAACGAUGGGCACUAGGUGUGGGAGGUAUCGACCCCUUCCGUGCCGCAGCUAACGCAUUAAGUGCCCCGCCUGGGGAGUACGGCCGCAAGGUUGAA
RNAcentral lists this ribosomal RNA (332 nucleotides) under uncultured bacterium. RNAcentral's name for it is "bacterial SSU rRNA". It matches the Rfam family "Bacterial small subunit ribosomal RNA", at positions 568 to 898 of the family's 1533-position model. The record is from RNAcentral.